AUGAAUAUUUAAAUAGCCGCAGAAUUUUAACUGUGCUAAGGUAGCAUAAUCAUUUACCUUUUAAUUAAAGGUUUGUAUGAAAGAUCUAACAUUUAAAUUACUUUUUUAUUAAUUCAUAUUUAAAUUUGACUAAAAAUAAAAAUAUUUUUAUAAAAUAAAAAGACGACAAGACCCUAUUGAACUUAACUCAAGUUAAGCUGGGGCAGCUAAUUAAACAUAAUUUUAAUAUAUUAUAUCAAAUAAAUUUCUGGGCCCCCCAAAAUGAUCAAGUUACCAUAGGGAUAACAGCGUAAUAAUUUUUAAAAGUUCUUAUCUAAAAAAUAGAUUACGACCUCGAUGUUGAAUUAAAUUUUACUUUAAAACGCAAUAGUA
RNAcentral lists this ribosomal RNA (372 nucleotides) under Arcuphantes tsushimanus. Its description in RNAcentral is "partial 16S ribosomal RNA". Lineage: Eukaryota; Metazoa; Arthropoda; Arachnida; Araneae; Linyphiidae. The record is from RNAcentral.